Molecule: ribosomal RNA, 575 nt
Filed under: Trichophyton rubrum
Lineage: Eukaryota; Fungi; Ascomycota; Eurotiomycetes; Onygenales; Arthrodermataceae
Description: eukaryotic LSU rRNA
Rfam family: Eukaryotic large subunit ribosomal RNA
Source: RNAcentral
AAACCAACMGGGAUUGCCCCAGUAACGGCGAGUGAAGCGGCAAGAGCUCAAAUUUGAAAUCUGGCCUCCCCCGGGGGUCCGAGUUGUAAUUUGCAGAGGAUGCUUCGGGCGCGGCCCCCGUCUAAGUUCCUUGGAACAGGACGUCAGAGAGGGUGAGAAUCCCGUCUUGGGCGGGCGGCCCGCGCCCGUGUGAAGCUCCUUCGACGAGUCGAGUUGUUUGGGAAUGCAGCUCUAAGCGGGUGGUAAAUUUCAUCUAAAGCUAAAUACCGGCCGGAGACCGAUAGCGCACAAGUAGAGUGAUCGAAAGGUUAAAAGCACCUUGAAAAGGGAGUUAAACAGCACGUGAAAUUGUUGAAAGGGAAGCGCUUGCGGCCAGACUCGGGGGGCGGGGUUCAGCGGGCGCUCGUCGCCCGUGCACUGCCCGCUCCCCGGGCCAGCAUCAGCUUCGACGGCCGGUCAAAGGCCCCCGGAAUGUGUCGUCUCUAGGGACGUCUUAUAGCCGGGGGUGCAAUGCGGCCCGUCGAGACUGAGGAACGCGCUCCGGCUCGGAUGCUGGCGUAAUGGCCGUAAGCGGC